This is a long non-coding RNA of Dreissena polymorpha, 295 nucleotides long. RefSeq lists it as uncharacterized. NCBI's taxonomy places the organism in Eukaryota, Metazoa, Mollusca, Bivalvia, Myida, Dreissenidae. The record is from RefSeq and is a predicted model, not a curated record. The transcript has 2 exons.
ACCAGGUUUUCCGAAGAAAAAAACUGGUUAUUAGAUUGGCGAAUGCAGGCGGGCUGGCGGGCUGGCUGGCUGGCGGGCUGGCGGGCGGGCGGAACAAGCUUGUCCGGGCCAUAACUAUGUCGUUCAUUGUCAGAUUUUAAAAUCAUUUGGCACAUUUGUUCACCAUCAUUGGACGGUGUGUCGCGCGAAAUAAUUACGUCGAUAUCUCCAAGGUCAAGGUCGCCACGACUAAAAAUAGAUUUAAAAAAAAAAAAACUUACAAAGGGGGUUAAUUUUGUUUGUUCAUUUCAAAAGU